CCUACGGGUGGCAGCAGUGAGGAAUAUUGGUCAAUGGACGAGAGUCUGAACCAGCCAAGUAGCGUGAAGGAUGACUGCCCUAUGGGUUGUAAACUUCUUUUAUAUGGGAAUAAAAUGUUCCACGUGUGGGAUUUUGUAUGUACCAUAUGAAUAAGGAUCGGCUAACUCCGUGCCAGCAGCCGCGGUAAUACGGAGGAUCCGAGCGUUAUCCGGAUUUAUUGGGUUUAAAGGGAGCGUAGGUGGAUUGUUAAGUCAGUUGGGAAAGUUUGCGGCUCAACCGUAAAAUUGCAGUUGAAACUGGCAGUCUUGAGUACAGUAGAGGUGGGCGGAAUUCGGGGUGUAGCGGUGAAAUGCUUAGAUAUCACGAAGAAGUCCGAUUGCGAAGGCAGCUCACUGGACUGCAACUGACACUGAGGCUCGAAAGUGUGGGUAUCAAACAGGAUUAGAUACCCGGGUAGUC
RNAcentral lists this ribosomal RNA (460 nucleotides) under uncultured bacterium. RNAcentral's name for it is "partial 16S ribosomal RNA". It matches the Rfam family "Bacterial small subunit ribosomal RNA", at positions 338 to 795 of the family's 1533-position model. The record is from RNAcentral.